Molecule: ribosomal RNA, 895 nt
Filed under: Teratosphaeria profusa
Lineage: Eukaryota; Fungi; Ascomycota; Dothideomycetes; Mycosphaerellales; Teratosphaeriaceae
Description: LSU rRNA
Rfam family: Eukaryotic large subunit ribosomal RNA
Source: RNAcentral
UUAAGCAUAUCAAUAAGGGGAGGAAAAGAAACCAACAGGGAUUGCCCUAGUAACGGGGAGUGAACCCGGAAAACCCCCAAUUUAAAAUCCGGCCCAAGCCCUUUUUGUAAUUUGUAGAGGAUGCUUCAGGGCACCGGCCGGUCUAACUUCCUUGGAACAGGACGUCAUAGAGGGUGAGAAUCCCGUAUGCGACCGGUUGGCACCCGUCACGUAGCUCCUUCGACGAGUCGAGUUGUUUGGGAAUGCAGCUCUAAAUGGGAGGUAAAUUUCUUCUAAAGCUAAAUACCGGCCAGAGACCGAUAGCGCACAAGUAGAGUGAUCGAAAGAUGAAAAGCACUUUGGAAAGAGAGUUAAAAAGCACGUGAAAUUGUUGAAAGGGAAGCGCAUGCAACCAGACUUGUCGGCGGUGUUCCGCCGGUCUUCUGACCGGUCUACUCGCCGCCGGCAGGCCAGCAUCAUCUGGGUGCGCCGGACAAAGGCGCGGGGAAUGUAGCUCCUCGGAGUGUUAUAGCCCCGCGCACAAUACGGCGCCGCCCGGGUGAGGUCCGCGCUUCGGCUAGGAUGCUGGCGUAAUGGUUGUAUGCGGCCCGUCUUGAAACACGGACCAAGGAGUCUAACAUCUAUGCGAGUGUUCGGGUGUCAAACCCCUACGCGGAAUGAAAGUGAACGGAGGUGGGAAGCGCAAGCUGCACCAUCGACCGAUCCUGAUGUCUUCGGAUGGAUUUGAGUAAGAGCAUAGCUGUUGGGACCCGAAAGAUGGUGAACUAUGCCUGAAUAGGGUGAAGCCCCACGAAACUCUGGUGGAGGCUCGCAGAAGUUUUCUCCCGAAAUACCCGCCGGAAAUUAGGGUAUAGGGGCGAAAGACUAAUCGAACCAUCUAGUAGCUGGUUCCUGC